This 292-nucleotide ribosomal RNA is filed under the name uncultured Verrucomicrobiota bacterium. Its description in RNAcentral is "uncultured Verrucomicrobia bacterium partial 16S ribosomal RNA". Lineage: Bacteria; Pseudomonadati; Verrucomicrobiota. The record is from RNAcentral.
GGACUACUGGGGUUUCUAAUCCCGUUUGCUCCCCUGGCUUUCGUGUUUCAGAGUCAGGAAUCUUCCAGGUAACCGCCUUCGCCACCGGUGUUCCUCAUGAUAUCUACGCAUUUCACUGCUACACCAUGAAUUCCGUUACCCCCUCCGAUCCUCUAGCCAGGCAGUAUCGAGCGCAGUUUCAGAGUUAAGCUCUGAGAUUUCACACACGACUUACCUGACCUCCUACACACCCUUUACGCCCAAUGAAUCCGAACAACGCUCGGGACCUCUGUCUUACCGCGGCUGCUGGCAC